RNAcentral lists this unclassified non-coding RNA (239 nucleotides) under Pseudotrichia thailandica. RNAcentral describes it as "partial contains 5.8S ribosomal RNA, internal transcribed spacer 2, and large subunit ribosomal RNA". The record is from RNAcentral. Lineage: Eukaryota; Fungi; Ascomycota; Dothideomycetes; Pleosporales; Melanommataceae.
CGCACAUUGCGCCCUUUGGUAUUCCUUAGGGCAUGCCUGUUCGAGCGUCAUUUAAACCCUCAAGCGCUGCUUGGUGUUGGGCGCUUGUCCCGCUCUCUGCGGGACUCGCCUUGAAAACAUUGGCAGUCAUCUGUAACUAGAAGCGCAGCACAUGAGCGUAGCUCUGGUUGUGGUUGAUUCCCAGAAGCGUACACCCACGUUUUGACCUCGGAUCAGGUAAGGAUACCCGCUAAACUUAA